This 254-nucleotide ribosomal RNA is filed under the name uncultured bacterium. RNAcentral's name for it is "partial 16S ribosomal RNA". It matches the Rfam family "Bacterial small subunit ribosomal RNA", at positions 524 to 776 of the family's 1533-position model. The record is from RNAcentral.
UACGUAGGGAGCAAGCGUUGUCCGGAUUUAUUGGGCGUAAAGAGCUCGUAGGCGGUUUAGAAAGUCAGGUGUGAAACCUCCAGGCUCAACCUGGAGACGCCACUUGAUACUUCUAUGACUUGAGUUCGGUAGGGGUAAGCGGAAUUCCUGGUGUAGCGGUGAAAUGCGCAGAUAUCAGGAGGAACACCGAUGGCGAAGGCAGCUUACUGGGCCGAAACUGACGCUGAGGAGCGAAAGCGUGGGGAGCGAACAGG